UGGGGCGUUGCCAAGCGGUAAGGCAUCAGCCUUUGGAGCUGAUAACCGUAGGUUCGAAUCCUACCGCCCCAGCCA
RNAcentral lists this transfer RNA (75 nucleotides) under Clostridiales bacterium UBA8153. Its description in RNAcentral is "tRNA-Gln". It matches the Rfam family "tRNA". Rfam says of the family: Transfer RNA (tRNA) molecules are approximately 80 nucleotides in length. Their secondary structure includes four short double-helical elements and three loops (D, anti-codon, and T loops). Lineage: Bacteria; Bacillati; Bacillota; Clostridia; Eubacteriales; Clostridiales Family XVII. Incertae Sedis. The record is from RNAcentral.